UCGAGCGAGGCGGGGAGCAAUCCCCAGUCGAGCGGCGAACGGGUGAGUAACGCGUGGAUGACCUGCCCUUCAGCGGGGAAUAACCCGGGGAAACUCGGGCUAAUACCGCAUACGACCGAGAGGUGAAAGGGGGCCGCAAGGCUCUUACUGAAGGAGGGGUCCGCGUCCGAUUAGCUAGUUGGUAGGGUAAUGGCCUACCAAGGCGACGAUCGGUAGCCGGCCUGAGAGGGUGAUCGGCCACACUGGAACUGAGACACGGUCCAGACUCCUACGGGAGGCAGCAGUGGGGAAUUUUGCGCAAUGGGCGAAAGCCUGACGCAGCAACGCCGCGUGGAGGAUGAAGGUCUUUGGAUUGUAAACUCCUGUCAGCAGGGAAAAAGGGACUGGGCCUCAUACGUCCGGAACUUGAUUGUACCUGCAGAGGAAGCCCCGGCUAACUCUGUGCCAGCAGCCGCGGUAAUACAGAGGGGGCAAGCGUUA
This 480-nucleotide ribosomal RNA is filed under the name uncultured bacterium. RNAcentral describes it as "bacterial SSU rRNA". It matches the Rfam family "Bacterial small subunit ribosomal RNA", at positions 62 to 543 of the family's 1533-position model. The record is from RNAcentral.